CCUACGGGUGGCAGCAGUGAGGAAUAUUGGUCAAUGGACGAGAGUCUGAACCAGCCAAGUAGCGUGAAGGAUGACUGCCCUAUGGGUUGUAAACUUCUUUUAUAAAGGAAUAAAACGAGGCACGUGUGCCUUUUUGCAUGUACUUUAUGAAUAAGGAUCGGCUAACUCCGUGCAAGCAGCCGCGGUAAUACGGAGGAUCCGAGCGUUAUCCGGAUUUAUUGGGUUUAAAGGGAGCGUAGAUGGGUUGUUAAGUCAGUUGUGAAAGUUUGCGGCUCAACCGUAAAAUUGCAAUUGAUACUGGCAGUCUUGAGUACAGUAGAGGUAAGCGGAAUUCGUAGUGUAGCGGUGAAAUGCGUAGAUAUUACGAAGAACACCGAUUGCGAAGGCAGCUUACUAAACUGUGACUGACAUUGAUGCUCGAAAGUGUGGGUAGCAAACAGGAUUAGAUACCCCGGUAGUC
This 460-nucleotide ribosomal RNA is filed under the name uncultured bacterium. RNAcentral's name for it is "partial 16S ribosomal RNA". It matches the Rfam family "Bacterial small subunit ribosomal RNA", at positions 338 to 795 of the family's 1533-position model. The record is from RNAcentral.